Molecule: non-coding RNA, 846 nt
Organism: Nylanderia fulva
Lineage: Eukaryota; Metazoa; Arthropoda; Insecta; Hymenoptera; Formicidae
Source: RefSeq, a predicted model, not a curated record
GUUAGUGUAUUCCACUCGUUCAUAAUUGCAUUAAUUAAUGCCCAACUCCAGUCGACAACGAUAACUGAGAAUAAUGGCCAGCUAAAACGUUUAGUUCGCAAAAAUGUUUCUUUGUUAAUUACUAACGAAUGGCUGGCCAUCUACACCUAAUAUUUUAGGUAUGUACGCAGGGCACUCCCCCUACAAAUAGUAAAAAGUUGAUCUAAAUCCGAGAGCAACAUCAUGCGGCCUCUCCUACUAUUUCAAAAACAGAAAAAAAAUUUGAUCGAAAGAAAUUCUUGAAUUAUAAAAGGAUAUGGAAUAACAAUCAGGGAAAUAUACGAAGUAUUGUACUAAAUGUAUUACAAUCUCGAUCCAAAGAUACAACGAAUAUUAUGACAAAAUCUGUACAUGAAGAGACUACUUCAAAACGUUGUAAUGAAACGUUACACAAAAUAAAUUAUGAACCGUUACACAAUAGUUUAGCUACACCACAGCGAUGUACUGUAAGAUCGACGCGUAAAUUACUUUUUAAUGAAAAUGACAUGGAAAAGUUGACUGAUAUUGAUAUGCAAUGCGAAAGUACCAUAGAUUGCGUGAAUAAUAGUGAUAAUACAUUUAGCAGUAAAGGUGACAAUAGUGACAGUUCUAUACAAUUUCAUAAAAAAAAUGACAAGAAAAAGUUGACUGAUGUUGAUAUGCAAUGCGAAAAUAACAUAGAUUGCCGAUCGUCAAAUAUCUUUAGUAAUGUGCAAUACUUGUCGACGUUGGGCACAUCAAUUGUGUCUCAAAAGGAAAUUCAAUGAUACAACAAACUGGACAGAUCCAAAUGCAAAGUAUAGAUGCUUAUUGUGUGCCAAAGGUUCG